Molecule: ribosomal RNA, 404 nt
Filed under: uncultured bacterium
Lineage: Bacteria
Description: bacterial SSU rRNA
Rfam family: Bacterial small subunit ribosomal RNA
Source: RNAcentral
UGGGGAAUAUUGCACAAUGGGGGAAACCCUGAUGCAGCGACGCCGCGUGAGUGAAGAAGUAUUUCGGUAUGUAAAGCUCUAUCAGCAGGAAAGAAAAUGACGGUACCUGACUAAGAAGCCCCGGCUAACUACGUGCCAGCAGCCGCGGUAAUACGUAGGGGGCAAGCGUUAUCCGGAUUUACUGGGUGUAAAGGGAGCGUAGACGGUUAUGCAAGUCUGAAGUGAAAUGCGGGGGCUUAACCCCUGAACUGCUUUGGAAACUGUAAAACUGGAGUGCAGGAGAGGUAAGUGGAAUUCCUAGUGUAGCGGUGAAAUGCGUAGAUAUUAGGAGGAACACCAGUGGCGAAGGCGGCUUACUGGACUGUAACUGACGUUGAGGCUCGAAAGCGUGGGGAGCAAACAGG